UGGGUUGUAGCUCAGUGGUAGAGCACUUGCUUAGCACAUGUGAGACACUGGGUUCAACCCUCAGCAUCACAU
RNAcentral lists this transfer RNA (72 nucleotides) under Ictidomys tridecemlineatus (thirteen-lined ground squirrel). RNAcentral describes it as "Spermophilus tridecemlineatus (thirteen-lined ground squirrel) tRNA". It matches the Rfam family "tRNA". Rfam says of the family: Transfer RNA (tRNA) molecules are approximately 80 nucleotides in length. Their secondary structure includes four short double-helical elements and three loops (D, anti-codon, and T loops). The record is from Rfam by way of RNAcentral. Lineage: Eukaryota; Metazoa; Chordata; Mammalia; Rodentia; Sciuridae.